AGGGGCCUUGAAAUUCUCCAGAGAAGGAGACUCCACAACCUCUCUGGGCAGCCUGUUCCACUGCUCUGUAACCCUUACAGUAAAGAAGUUCCCUCUUGUGUUAAGGUGGAAUCUCCUGUACUGCAGCUAACAUCCAUUGCUCUUUGUCCUAACACAGGGAGUAAGUGAGAAGAGCCUGUUCCUCUGCCUCCUGACACCAAACCCUCAGACACCAAACUUUGGCAUUGAAACCAACUGAAAAAAAAACAAACCAACAGUGAAACAGGAGGCCAAGAACUGAUGUGUGAUGGUGGAUGAGGAAGAGAGAGAGGUUCAUAGAAAGACUGUCUGUGAUCCAGCACAUAUCCAAUGGAGGAUACCUCUGAAAGGGAAAGAAAGGGACAGCUGAGAUGGAAAUGCAAUGGCCCAUCUGUGGUUAAGACUGGAAGAUCACUGACCAUUGAGAUUAAACUGAGGACAUGAAAUUGCAGAUUGCCAGAGACUCUACAACAGCAAAAUACUGACUUUAAUAUGGGAAAGUACAAUGAUGAUAUAGAGCUAGCUUAAAAUACCUUGUUCUUGCAUGACUAACAAGUAGGCCCUUUAUAACACAAUGUGUCAUUUUCAAAGACCUAAGGGCAAUAUUAGCAGAUCAAAGACUUCAGUAAGUAUUUAUUUUCUGUGUUAGAACUGAAUUCACCAUUAAUUUGCCAUCUCUGUCUAUAUCUGGUCAAUCUUUCAUCCACACUUCCCUCUGAUGGAGAUGGGCACAGAAAGCUUGGCUAGGUGUAUUGUUACAAGGACAACUUGAGCAUUUCUGCUUUUUUUAUGCCUGUGGUUGAAAACCAGUCACUAGCUCUUCAUCUCCUAUUGGUUCAUUUUGAAAUCUUGCACCUACAUUGAAUUUAUAACAGAAGGGGAAAGGGAAAUAUUAUACAAAUGAAUAAUGUUCUUUUUUUUCUUUCAUUAUUGCAAAAAUCAUUCUGUUUAGGACACACUUUGAGAAGAAUCAGAGCCUAAUCUCAAGUCAGCAUCACUCUUAAUUUCAUCUGUUUUUAUUUGGGAUGAAAUGACUUACCUAAAACAAGUAACAAUAAAAAGGCUUGAAAUCCCAGGAAAUGGAUGGGUUCUGGUGUUCUAUACAUUGAAUAAGUCUCAUCUCUGAUUUUUACUCCUCAGCUAGACUCAAAAUAAGUGACCCUGUGAGUGGCCUGUCAACUCUUCAGGCUUGACAGAACUCCUUGCAUGUUCUGCAUUCUGGAAACUUGUCAUAUUUGUUGAAAAUCUUGUUUAAUUACUUGGAAAACAUCAAUACAUUGUAUUGUGGGUCUGUGUAUGUUGGAGCUGUGAAGUAAGUGGAAUCUGACAAAAUCUAAUCUCCCAGAAAUAAAAUAGAACAUUA
This is a long non-coding RNA of Pogoniulus pusillus (Red-fronted tinkerbird), 1381 nucleotides long. RefSeq lists it as uncharacterized. NCBI's taxonomy places the organism in Eukaryota, Metazoa, Chordata, Aves, Piciformes, Lybiidae. The transcript has 2 exons. The record is from RefSeq and is a predicted model, not a curated record.